UACGUAGGGAGCAAGCGUUGUCCGGAAUCAUUGGGCGUAAAGCGCGCGUAGGCGGCCCUGUAAGUCCGUUGUGAAAGUCAAAGGCUCAACCUUUGAAAGCCGAUGGAUACUGCAGGGCUAGAGUUCGGAAGAGGCGAGUGGAAUUCCUGGUGUAGCGGUGGAAUGCGCAGAUAUCAGGAGGAACACCAAUAGCGAAGGCAGCUCGCUGGGACGAUACUGACGCUGAGACGCGAAAGCGUGGGGAGCAAACAGG
This 253-nucleotide ribosomal RNA is filed under the name uncultured bacterium. RNAcentral's name for it is "partial 16S ribosomal RNA". It matches the Rfam family "Bacterial small subunit ribosomal RNA", at positions 524 to 776 of the family's 1533-position model. The record is from RNAcentral.